This 221-nucleotide ribosomal RNA is filed under the name Melanogaster rivularis. Its description in RNAcentral is "partial small subunit ribosomal RNA". Lineage: Eukaryota; Fungi; Basidiomycota; Agaricomycetes; Boletales; Melanogastraceae. The record is from RNAcentral.
UUAAGAUUAGAUUUUUCUAUUAGCCUACAAAAAUAAUAGAAUAUAUAUAAAAAAGCUUAAAAUUUAUAUGUUUUAUUAUAUUUCAAAUUCAUAACAGAUUUUUCAAAUAUAAUAGUUUAACUGAUCUAAUCAUUUUAAACGUGAUUAUUAAGAUUAAUAAACCCAACGAAUUCAAUUAAGUAACAUUUCAAAAGUCAUAGCAAGGUAGCUUGUACUGGAAA